Molecule: ribosomal RNA, 469 nt
Filed under: uncultured bacterium
Lineage: Bacteria
Description: bacterial SSU rRNA
Rfam family: Bacterial small subunit ribosomal RNA
Source: RNAcentral
GGCCCAGACUCCUACGGGAGGCAGCAGUGAGGAAUAUUGGUCAAUGGGCGCGAGCCUGAACCAGCCAAGUCGCGUGAGGGAGGACGGCCCUACGGGUUGUAAACCUCUUUUGCCGGGGAGCAACGGGCGCCACGUGUGGCGCCACUGAGAGUACCCGGAGAAAAAGCAUCGGCUAACUCCGUGCCAGCAGCCGCGGUAAUACGUAGGGAGCAAGCGUUGUCCGGAAUUACUGGGCGUAAAGGGCGCGUAGGUGGGCGCUUAAGUCAGGUGUGAAAACUCCGGGCUCAACCUGGAGACUGCACUUGAAACUGGGUGUCUUGAGGGCAGGAGAGGAAAGUGGAAUUCCUAGUGUAGCGGUGAAAUGCGUAGAUAUUAGGAGGAACACCAGUGGCGAAGGCGACUUUCUGGACUGUACCUGACGCUGAGGCGCGAAAGCGUGGGGAGCAAACAGGAUUAGAUACCCCUGUAA